This is a non-coding RNA of Desmophyllum pertusum, 72 nucleotides long. The record is from the annotation of a GenBank genome assembly. NCBI's taxonomy places the organism in Eukaryota, Metazoa, Cnidaria, Anthozoa, Scleractinia, Caryophylliidae.
GAGCUUCAUAGCUCAAUUGAUAGAGCAUCGCACUGUUAACACGAAGGUCAUGAGUUCAAAUCCCGUUGUUUU